Molecule: ribosomal RNA, 253 nt
Filed under: uncultured bacterium
Lineage: Bacteria
Description: partial 16S ribosomal RNA
Rfam family: Bacterial small subunit ribosomal RNA
Source: RNAcentral
UACAGAGGUCCCAAGCGUUGUUCGGAUUCACUGGGCGUAAAGCGUGCGUAGACGGUUAUGUAAGUCAGGUGUGAAAGCCCCGGGCUCAACCUGGGAAUUGCAUUUGAGACUGCAUAGCUAGGGUGCGGAAGAGGGAAGCGGAAUUUCCGGUGUAGCGGUGAAAUGCGUAGAUAUCGGAAGGAACACCAGUGGCGAAAGCGGCUUCCUGGUCCAGCACCGACGUUCAGGCACGAAAGCGUGGGGAGCAAACAGG